RNAcentral lists this ribosomal RNA (301 nucleotides) under uncultured bacterium. RNAcentral's name for it is "partial 16S ribosomal RNA". It matches the Rfam family "Bacterial small subunit ribosomal RNA", at positions 509 to 807 of the family's 1533-position model. The record is from RNAcentral.
CAGUCGCCGCAGGAAUACCGAGGGUGCGAGCGUUAAUCGGAUUUACUGGGCGUAAAGCGUGCGUAGGCGGCUUCUUAAGUCGGAUGUGAAAUCCCUGAGCUUAACUUAGGAAUUGCAUUCGAUACUGGGAAGCUAGAGUAUGGGAGAGGAUGGUAGAAUUCCAGGUGUAGCGGUGAAAUGCGUAGAGAUCUGGAGGAAUACCGAUGGCGAAGGCAGCCAUCUGGCCUAAUACUGACGCUGAGGUACGAAAGCAUGGGGAGCAAACAGGAUUAGAUACCCCGGUAGUCCCUGUCUCUUAUAC